CUUUGUACGGAACGAAACGGUUCUCUCUAAGUACAGGGGGCUAAUGACGGUACCGUAAGAAUAAGCACCGGCUAACUACGUGCCAGCAGCCGCGGUAAUACGUAGGGUGCAAGCGUUAAUCGGAAUUACUGGGCGUAAAGCGUGCGCAGGCGGUUUUGUAAGACAGAGGUGAAAAUCCCCGGGCUCAACCUGGGAACUGCCUUUGUGACUGCAAGGCUGGAGUACGGCAGAGGGGGAUGGAAUUCCGCGUGUAGCAGUGAAAUGCGUAGAUAUGCGGAGGAACACCGAUGGCGAAGGCAAUCCCCUGGGCCUGUACUGACGCUCAUGCACGAAAGCGUGGGGAGCAAACAGGAUUAGAUACCCUGGUAGUCCACGCCCUAAACGAUGUCAACUGGUUGUUGGGUCUUCACUGACUCAGUAACGAAGCUAACGCG
This 434-nucleotide ribosomal RNA is filed under the name uncultured bacterium. RNAcentral describes it as "bacterial SSU rRNA". It matches the Rfam family "Bacterial small subunit ribosomal RNA", at positions 434 to 859 of the family's 1533-position model. The record is from RNAcentral.